Molecule: long non-coding RNA, 355 nt
Filed under: Equus caballus (horse)
Lineage: Eukaryota; Metazoa; Chordata; Mammalia; Perissodactyla; Equidae
Description: lncRNA (ENSECAG00000055562.1)
Source: RNAcentral
GUUCAGAACAAUGGCCCCCACCAAUGUCUCCAUCUCUGGAGAGGUCCCUCUCCUCACCAAGAUACACCCACAGCCCGCCAGGAUUGUGUGGCUAUUCAGGGUCCCUUGAGAUGCCAUAUGAAUUUUAUGUUGUGUUUUUCUGUUUCUGCAAAAAAAAAAAAAAAAUCAUUGGGAUCUUGAUAAGCAAAAGGAUACAAGUGAAAAUCAGCCGAGGGAAGAGACUCAUGGAGCAGAGUCCAGGAGGGGUCCAAAUGCAGAGCUCCUAGCAUUCUGUCUCCAUGGAGCCAUGCAGUCAUGGACAGCGUCACCUCCUUGCGGUCACCAUGUGUGACAAUACACAUAACAUAUUGCCAAC